AGUGCGAGAGCCAGGAGCGCGGCCACCGCUCAGCGGCUCCCUGCCGUCGCGCUCCCCCCACCCCACCCGCAGCCUCUCCCUGCCCCCCGGUCCCCAGCACGAAACCAGCCCCCUAGUAGCAGCGGCGGCGGCGGAGGGAGAGAGCCCAGCCCCUUUGCAGCUGGCAGGAGGGGCUGCCCGCUCGUAGACACGCAAUUACACCAUCCAUCAGCCGCCCCCAGACAAGCCCCAGCCCCAGCGCUCGUGUGCCAAGCUCCAGAGGCUCAUCAAGUGAACACCAAAAGUGACGAGAGAGUUUUGAUUGGCCCAGUUCCUAUGGCAAAGCAGUAUCUUUUUUUGCUUGUUUUUUUCAGCAUAAUGAAGAAAAGAGAAGCUACAGAAGAAAUGGAUGGAUGGAUAUAAGAACAAGACCACAACCAAAACAUUCAGUCAUGCUCCAGUUUAAUGUAGCCAGAGUUCUCAGGUUUUACACAGACUGAUAGAAUAACAUUCUAUUAUCACAUUUAUUGAAUCAAGACAAAAUAAGUAAAAAUCUAUUGGAUAUUAUAAA
Molecule: long non-coding RNA, 550 nt
Organism: Alligator mississippiensis (American alligator)
Lineage: Eukaryota; Metazoa; Chordata; Crocodylia; Alligatoridae
Exons: 3
Source: RefSeq, a predicted model, not a curated record